GAUCCUGGCUCAGAGCGAACGCUGGCGGCAGGCCUAACACAUGCAAGUCGAACGAACCUUUCGGGGUUAGUGGCGGACGGGUGAGUAACACGUGGGAACGUGCCUUUAGGUUCGGAAUAACUCAGGGAAACUUGUGCUAAUACCGAAUGUGCCCUUCGGGGGAAAGAUUUAUCGCCUUUAGAGCGGCCCGCGUCUGAUUAGCUAGUUGGUUGAGGUAAUGGCUCACCAAGGCGACGAUCAGUAGCUGGUCUGAGAGGA
Molecule: ribosomal RNA, 258 nt
Filed under: uncultured bacterium
Lineage: Bacteria
Description: partial 16S ribosomal RNA
Rfam family: Bacterial small subunit ribosomal RNA
Source: RNAcentral